AGUCCUCCACUCUGGGGGUAAAAAGCUUUUUGCUGUUCACCCUGUCUAUACCCUCAUGAUUUUGUUGACCUCAAUCAGGUCCCCCCCAAUCUCCAUCUUUCUCAUGAAAAUAAUCCUAGUCUACUCAACCUCUCUUCAUGGCGAGCACCCUCCAUACAAGGCAGCAUCCUGGUGAACCUCCUCUGCACCCUCUCCAAAGCAUCCACAUCCUUUUGGUAAUGUGGCGACUGGAACUGUGCACAGCAGUCCAAAUGUGGCCAAACCAAAGUCCGAUACAACUGCAACAUGACCUUGGCAAGUCUUGUACUCAAUACCCCAUCCAAUGAAGGAAAGCAUGCCAUAUGCCUUCGAGACCACCCUAUUGACCUGCGUUGUCACCUUCAGGGAACAAUGGACCUGAACACCCAGAUCUCUCUGUUCAUCAAUUUUCCCCAAGACUUUUCCAUUUACUGUAUAGUUCGUCCUUGAAUUUGAUCUUCCAAAAUGCAUCACCUCGCAUUUGCCCGGAUUGAACUCCAUCUGCCAUUUAUCUGCCCAACUCUCCAGUCUACCUAUGUUCUGCUGUAACCUCUGAUAGUCCCCUUCACUAUCGGCUUCUCCAUUCCUCCCUUGUAGUGUGAUUAGGCAAGACUAAGGAGGCAUAGAAUGGGUUAGCAAAAUGCAGGGCAAUGGGGACAAUUGAAUUGUGGAGCUGGUUUAAGGAGCAGAUAUUGCGUGUCCUUGAUAGGUACGUCCCUGUCAGGCAGGGAGGAAGCGAUCAGCUAAGGGAACCGUGGUUUACUAAAAAAAUUGUAUCUCUUGUUAAGCAGAAGAGGGAGGCUGAUGUGACGAUGAGACCAGAUGGUUCACAUGAGGUGAUGGAGAGCUACAGAUUAGUUAGGAAGGAUUUAAAGAGAGAGUUAAGAAGAGCAAGGAGGGUACACGAGCAGACACUGGCAGUCUUUUCCAGUCCCAUGCUGAGUAUUGUUAUCCCAAUAGUUCUUUAAUGUCAGUGUGUGUGUAUUCCUGGGCGACUAUGCUCGUGUGGUCUACGGAGUUGUGGAGGUCACAGUUCUAGGACAGCCAUUUCAUAGGCCUCUGCUGCAGAAUCUACUCCGGAAGAGAGAGCCCAGAGAAUUGCCAAAGCUGUCUGCAAGCAGUCAAUUGACGUGAAGGAAAAUUGGGAGCAAUUGAAAACCCAUGCGAGCAACUGGCAGAACAAGGUGGAAAAGGCGUUAGAGAAACUUCAAGAACUGCAGAAAGCUCUGGAUGAUCUUGAGUCUCAUGUGAUAACAGCUGAGGGGGUCCACAUUGAUUGGCAACCUGUGAAUGACCUGUUUAUUGACGCAUUGCAGGAUCACAUGGAUAAAACCACAGACUAAAGGUGAAGUCUGACCACGCCAUUUGGCCACUCCUUAGAGAGACACAACUGGUUAUGAUUUAACCUGAAGAUCACCAUGCCUCGGGCAAGUAAAGCGGUUGAGGCGAAGAUCCUUUGUGGUUAAGGACUGUCUGCAAAAUCUGAGAUUGGGUUUUGAAACACAUCAACCUUUGCUUGCGAGAGAUAAUGGUAACUGCAGAUGCUAGAGAAUGCGAGAUAACAAUGUGUGGAGCUGGAUGAACACAGCAGGCCAAGCAGCAUCUCAGGAGCACAAAAGUUGACAUUUCGGGCCUCGACCCUUCAUGCGAGAGAACGUAACGUUUUUAAAGAAGAAAUUGCCCCAGUCAAACAAGAAGUCAAAAUAUUAAAUGAUCUGGGAUGUCAGUUAUCUCCGCUUGAUGUCUCUUUCUCUCCAAAGAUUUCUCACCAGCUUGAUGACCUAAAUAUGAGGUUGAAAUUUAUACAGCAGCAGGAGGUGAGGAGGCAGAGACUGCAACCCUGAGGUCACGGAGGGAAGGAAAAGAGGCUCUUACUUGGAGAUUGAGAAGCAGGAGAGGGCACAACCCAGAGGUUUGGGAGUGGAGAGAGGCUGCAAGUUGGAGGUCAAGGUGAUUUAAACACCGUGCGUUUUUCUGCAUAUCGGCCAGCAAUGAAGAUCCGCCGACUCCAGAAAGCGCUCUGUUACCACAUCAGGUGAAGAUGUGUGUGAUUUCACCAAGGUGCUGAAAAAUAACUUCAGAUCAAAGAAAUACUUUGCCAAACAUCCUUGCUUGGGUUAUUUACCACUACAAACAGUCCUAGAAGUAAUUGCAUGACAGUUUGAAUGGUUCGUUGAGCGUGAGGAACCUAUGGACUCUCAUACACCAAGAU
Stegostoma tigrinum is the source of this 2230-nucleotide long non-coding RNA. RefSeq lists it as uncharacterized. NCBI's taxonomy places the organism in Eukaryota, Metazoa, Chordata, Chondrichthyes, Orectolobiformes, Stegostomatidae. The transcript has 10 exons. The record is from RefSeq and is a predicted model, not a curated record.